Molecule: small nucleolar RNA, 85 nt
Organism: Salvia miltiorrhiza (redroot sage)
Lineage: Eukaryota; Viridiplantae; Streptophyta; Magnoliopsida; Lamiales; Lamiaceae
Product: small nucleolar RNA Z161/Z228
Exons: 1
Source: RefSeq, a predicted model, not a curated record
GAGCCAAAUGAUGAAGUUGGAUUACAAUAUCUCACGACGGUCGUCUGAUACUUUGAUGUAAUCAUAGUCCAAUUUCCUGAUGGAU